CUUGUUCUUCAACCACACAGAAAAGGUUAUAAACAUGAAAUAUGUACCUUAAUGGUGAGUCUAAGUUUUAAA
Non-coding RNA from Clostridium sp. CAG:594, 72 nucleotides. Lineage: Bacteria; Bacillati; Bacillota; Clostridia; Eubacteriales; Clostridiaceae. The record is from Rfam.